GUGUCGAUGAAGAACGCAGCCAGGUGCGUGAAUUAAUGUGAAUUGCAGGACACAUUGAACAUCGAUAUCUUGAACGCACAUUGCGGCUCCGGGUCACUCCCGGAGCCACGCCUGUCUGAGGGUCGGC
Molecule: ribosomal RNA, 127 nt
Filed under: Mimachlamys varia
Lineage: Eukaryota; Metazoa; Mollusca; Bivalvia; Pectinida; Pectinidae
Also listed under: 1 other name
Description: partial 5.8S ribosomal RNA
Rfam family: 5.8S ribosomal RNA
About the family: 5.8S ribosomal RNA (5.8S rRNA) is a component of the large subunit of the eukaryotic ribosome. It is transcribed by RNA polymerase I as part of the 45S precursor that also contains 18S and 28S rRNA.
Source: RNAcentral